CAGGCUUAACACAUGCAAGUCGAGGCGUUUCGGGAAGAAAGCUUGCUUUCUUUGCCGGCGACCGGCGCACGGGUGAGUAACACGUAUCCAACCUGCCCUUUACUCGGGGAUAGCCUUUCGAAAGAAAGAUUAAUACCCGAUAGUAUAAUGAUUCCGCAUGGUUUCAUUAUUAAAGGAUUCCGGUAAAGGAUGGGGAUGCGUUCCAUUAGGUUGUUGGUGAGGUAACGGCUCACCAAGCCUUCGAUGGAUAGGGGUUCUGAGAGGAAGGUCCCCCACAUUGGAACUGAGACACGGUCCAAACUCCUACGGGAGGCAGCAGUGAGGAAUAUUGGUCAAUGGGCGCUAGCCUGAACCAGCCAAGUAGCGUGAAGGAUGAAGGCUCUAUGGGUCGUAAACUUCUUUUAUAUAAGAAUAAAGUGCAGUAUGUAUACUGUUUUGUAUGUAUUAUAUGAAUAAGGAUCGGCUAACUCCGUGCCAGCAGCCGCGGUAAUACGGAGGAUCCGAGCGUUAUCCGGAUUUAUUGGGUUUAAAGGGAGCGUAGGUGGACUGGUAAGUCAGUUGUGAAAGUUUGCGGCUCAACCGUAAAAUUGCAGUUGAUACUGUCAGUCUUGAGUACAGUAGAGGUGGGCGGAAUUCGUGGUGUAGCGGUGAAAUGCUUAGAUAUCACGAAGAACUCCGAUUGCGAAGGCAGCUCACUGGACUGCAACUGACACUGAUGCUCGAAAGUGUGGGUAUCAAACAGGAUUAGAUACCCUGGUAGUCCACACAGUAAACGAUGAAUACUCGCUGUUUGCGAUAUACAGUAAGCGGCCAAGCGAAAGCAUUAAGUAUUCCACCUGGGGAGUACGCCGGCAACGGUGAAACUCAAAGGAAUUGACGGGGGCCCGCACAAGCGGAGGAACAUGUGGUUUAAUUCGAUGAUACGCGAGGAACCUUACCCGGGCUUAAAUUGCAGUGGAAUGAUGUGGAAACAUGUCAGUGAGCAAUCACCGCUGUGAAGGUGCUGCAUGGUUGUCGUCAGCUCGUGCCGUGAGGUGUCGGCUUAAGUGCCAUAACGAGCGCAACCCUUAUCUUCAGUUACUAACAGGUCAUGCUGAGGACUCUGGAGAGACUGCCGUCGUAAGAUGUGAGGAAGGUGGGGAUGACGUCAAAUCAGCACGGCCCUUACGUCCGGGGCUACACACGUGUUACAAUGGGGGGUACAGAAGGCAGCUAGCGGGUGACCGUAUGCUAAUCCCAAAAUCCUCUCUCAGUUCGGAUCGAAGUCUGCAACCCGACUUCGUGAAGCUGGAUUCGCUAGUAAUCGCGCAUCAGCCACGGCGCGGUGAAUACGUUCCCGGGCCUUGUACACACCGCCCGUCAAGCCAUGGGAGCCGGGGGUACAAGAAGUACGUAACCGCAAGGAUCGUCCUAGGGUAAAACUGGU
Molecule: ribosomal RNA, 1426 nt
Filed under: uncultured organism
Description: 16S ribosomal RNA
Rfam family: Bacterial small subunit ribosomal RNA
Source: RNAcentral